UUCGGUAACUUAUCCCUUCUUCUUUUUUUAUUUCGAAAAUAAGACAAAUUAUUAUCAUGUCUGCAAGUCUAACUCGAUAGGUAGUAUUACAUUGUGAAUUUAAAUUUCAGUGGAGAGAUUUGUGCAAAUCAUACCUGAGAGAAGCAAAGUGGUACCAUAGCCAGUAUAUCCCAAGUAUGGAAGAAUAUAUGGACAACGCCUGGAUUUCAAUAUCAGCUCCAGUAAUAUUAGUACAUGCAUAUUUCCUCGUUGCCAACCCUUUAUUUGUGUGCUGGGGACUGCUAAAUCGUCAUUGUGCAUCACUUUUGGAUGAACCUGGUUCUUUUGAGAAUUUGCGCCAUUGUUCUUUGUUCUUUUCAACUGAAGCAGAAUUCUUAACAAACUCGGAGAGUCCUUGCCUCAAAGCCCCUAAAUUUACCCCUUUGCCCACCAAUAUACUUGUGACACCCAUUUUUGAAACCGCCUGUAUGUUCCGAUUUUCAUCAUCAAAAAACAGCAUCUCAUUGUAGGGCACCGUAGUCUUUCGGUUGAUUUUCUGAAAGUGUUCCGUCUUGUGUGUCCAACUGGAGAAUAUCUCCUGGGCUACAAACAUU
RNAcentral lists this unclassified non-coding RNA (593 nucleotides) under Hevea brasiliensis (rubber tree). The record is from RNAcentral. Lineage: Eukaryota; Viridiplantae; Streptophyta; Magnoliopsida; Malpighiales; Euphorbiaceae.